Long non-coding RNA from Mizuhopecten yessoensis (Yesso scallop), 457 nucleotides. RefSeq lists it as uncharacterized. Lineage: Eukaryota; Metazoa; Mollusca; Bivalvia; Pectinida; Pectinidae. The transcript is spliced from 3 exons. The record is from RefSeq and is a predicted model, not a curated record.
AUAUAACUCCCACCAUUAGGUAAUGUCCAUAAUAUGUGUAUAGUAUAUCAAGUGUGACAGUAAUGUUUAAAGUAAUGAUGUCAUAGGUUGUAUGGUAUAGUGGUGUAUGGUGCUGUCAUGUAUGUAACAUUGUCCAUGUGUUCAGAUGUCAACAGUCCCAUGUGCUUCUGUGUAUGUUUACCUGUCCUGUGACCUGUGACCUAUAUGUAAAGUACCUGUUGGUCAUGUGACUGCCACCUCAACUGUAUCCCUCACCUGCAUGCUUUCUACCUCUGUGUGCAAGAAACUGGCAGCCAUGCUGGGUGUAACAUUUUGAUACCAGAAUUUAGAAGAGAACCAGGUGUGAAAUGGAAGUCUAGUAGACCUGUGUAGUAACCUGUGUAGUGUACAAGCACGGAGCUAGCCCCUGUCGGAAUGAUAGAGGUGUUUUCUAUGUUACGUCUUGUUUGUGCUACGG